UUCCAGACUCCUACGGGAGGCAGCAGUGGGGGAUAUUGCACAAUGGGGGAAACCCUGAUGCAGCGACGCCGCGUGAGCGAUGAAGUAUUUCGGUAUGUAAAGCUCUAUCAGCAGGGAAGAAAAUGACGGUACCUGACUAAGAAGCCCCGGCUAACUACGUGCCAGCAGCCGCGGUAAUACGUAGGGGGCAAGCGUUAUCCGGAUUUACUGGGUGUAAAGGGAGCGUAGACGGCGGUGCAAGCCAGAUGUGAAAGCCCGGGGCUCAACCCCGGGACUGCAUUUGGAACUGUGCUGCUAGAGUGUCGGAGAGGCAGGCGGAAUUCCUAGUGUAGCGGUGAAAUGCGUAGAUAUUAGGAGGAACACCAGUGGCGAAGGCGGCUUACUGGACUGUAACUGACGUUGAGGCUCGAAAGCGUGGGGAGCAAACAGGAUUAGAUACCCGCGUAAU
RNAcentral lists this ribosomal RNA (448 nucleotides) under uncultured bacterium. Its description in RNAcentral is "partial 16S ribosomal RNA". It matches the Rfam family "Bacterial small subunit ribosomal RNA", at positions 329 to 794 of the family's 1533-position model. The record is from RNAcentral.